Molecule: long non-coding RNA, 841 nt
Organism: Canis lupus familiaris (dog)
Lineage: Eukaryota; Metazoa; Chordata; Mammalia; Carnivora; Canidae
Exons: 3
Source: RefSeq, a predicted model, not a curated record
UACAGGGGAAACCCGGAAAUGCAAUCAGUGCGCGGAGGGGCAGGCGGGAGAGGUCCGGUGCGGAAGCCCUCCCUUCUCCCACGGGGAAAAGGCACAGUAAGUGAUAUGAAAAUACUCAUUGGGAGGGGGAAAAAAGCCAAUUUCUGUAUUUAGUUCUUUAAAAAUCACACAUCUAAGAGGGCUAACAAUACAAGUGGCGAGUUCGUUUAGCAAAUGGCGUUUUCUGAGUGGCCUCGUUGCCCAGGACAGUUCACAGGAUCGACGGCCUCGUGCGUGAGCCCAGGCUUGUUCUGUUCCCCUCUGAACCGAUUUAGGCGUGAAGCCUGGCAGGGCCACCUCGCUCCGGUGGCUCUGGAGCAGCUGGAGAAAGAAGCUGUUCCCUGGGCCCGAGAAAGCUGGGGACAGGCCGCCGCCGCGCUUCUCUCUGCCUGACACCUGCCAGCUCCAGCUGACCUGGGACAGCCUUUGCUGCUCUGAACCUAAGAAGCCUUGACCCUUCCCCAGCGCACGGACACAGCAAGCCACGAAAGCACUGGGUGGCCCAGGCUGAGAAGGGAGGGAGGCCCCUAAGGAAGCGUCGUGAGGCAGGCAACCUGCACUCCAACCCGUUGGGACCAGGGAGGCACCUGGAGAUCCCCUCUGGCGGUUGCAUGGGUGGCGCUGGAUAGGACAACUGACCCACUGACCACUUGGCCAACGAGGAUGAAGACAAGGCUGACUUCUCUCAUUGUGUCAUACAUUCUGGAAACGGAAGUCCUAAACUAUAACCAGGCCCAGAAGAUAGGGCAGAGUGGCCCACACUGGCCAGUACAGGCUGGCACGUAGACCUAACAUCCAGGAG